Gossypium arboreum is the source of this 341-nucleotide long non-coding RNA. RefSeq lists it as uncharacterized. The transcript has 2 exons. NCBI's taxonomy places the organism in Eukaryota, Viridiplantae, Streptophyta, Magnoliopsida, Malvales, Malvaceae. The record is from RefSeq and is a predicted model, not a curated record.
AAACUUGCCUUAAAAAAAAUGAGAGGAAACUCUCUGAAAGAGAGUUAAGGGCAGACCCUCAGAGCGCCGUGGUGUCUCUGUCAUCGGGUCCCCUACGCGCCUACGCGCCAUCGCCAAUCUCGCCGAGUACGGCGGUUUAAAAGGCAAAAAGCUUUCGUUUUUCUGGAUGUUUGCGAGAAAUCUGGCGGUGACGAAGGCUUGACGAUGGUCUACCAGAGGCGUUAAUCACGGCGUGACUCAGGGCCUAGAAUCAUGGCCUUGAUAGGGGCAUGAUCGGUGGCUGUUGAGACGGCGAGGCACUGAUGGGGCAUUGGAAACCUGAGACAGAGCAUUGAUGGCCG